Molecule: long non-coding RNA, 1010 nt
Organism: Megalobrama amblycephala (Wuchang bream)
Lineage: Eukaryota; Metazoa; Chordata; Actinopteri; Cypriniformes; Xenocyprididae
Exons: 3
Source: RefSeq, a predicted model, not a curated record
GUUUUUCCUGUAGAAUGCUCAAAUGUUCCUGCUCCCAAGAACUGUUGGGGGUAACACACCAGAACUAGGAAACCACUUUAUACUCCAGGUUUUCGAUGUCCCUGCAAAACAAGUGCGCAUUUACGAUUCAAUGAGGAUCUACAAUUCUAUAGAAAGGAAUGACUUGGAGAUUCUGAAGUAAUACUUUUGUAAUCUGUACCAGGUGUAUUAUAAAAAUAUUAUUUUAAAAACAUAUGAAUGAUAUAUAGAAAAGAUGAAAGAUGCAUGACCAACUCCUGCAUGGCCCAGGACAUAAAAGCCUGUGACAGGAAUAAAGUAUGUAGUAUAGCAUAAUAAAUUUUAUCAUGUUGUAAAUGAAUUUUGCUGAUUUUCAAAUUACAAUAAUGUUUAUGUUUUCAGAACUCUGCAUCCACACAUCAGACUUAUGCAGUGGGUUCAGUGUGACCUGUGCAACAAAUGGUUACACACCGAUUGCGCUGGCAUCGACCCUUCAACCAUUUGCAAAGAAACACCCUUCAGCUGUGGAUGUGAACAAGAACAGCCAUUUUCCUUUCAAAGGUUGGUACCAACAUGGUAGAAUUUCUUAACCGGGCAGAGUCCACAAAACCCCAUCCCUUUGUCAUGGCCAUGGGAAACGGCCAGCACAUAUCGCAAUGCUUUGUCAUCAUAAAUGGACAAGCCCUCGAGCAAAGCACACUGCUUGCAUCGGUCGAUGUAUGCUUCAAAGCAUUCUUUGUGUUUGGCAUCAACUAUCCCAAGCAGUGUGCAUCUACCUGGGAGUUUUUACAGCAUGUUAUCUUCCAAAUGGAGGGCAAGGAAUCUUCCGCAAUUCGGUUUCUUCGCACGUCCUUGUUUGCUGAAGAGUAACUAUUAUCCUUUUCCCCCCUUCUUUUUGGUUUUGUAAAUUUCAAUGUCAAUUUUACAUACUGUAAAAUACAAUUUUGCAAUCUUUGAAUUUCAAGUAUGAAUUACAUGUAUAAAUGUCAUUGGUCAGGACUAAUUUUCUUUCU